AGUAUAGCACUUUAUACUGUGAAACUGCGAAUGGCUCAUUAAAUCAGUUAUCGUUUAUUUGAUAGUACCUUACUACAUGGAUACCUGUGGUAAUUCUAGAGCUAAUACAUGCUGAAAACCUCGACUUCGGAAGGGGUGUAUUUAUUAGAUAAAAAACCAAUGCCCUUCGGGGCUCCUUGGUGAAUCAUAAUAACUUAACGAAUCGCAUGGCCUUGCGCCGGCGAUGGUUCAUUCAAAUUUCUGCCCUAUCAACUUUCGAUGGUAGGAUAGUGGCCUACCAUGGUGGCAACGGGUAACGGGGAAUUAGGGUUCGAUUCCGGAGAGGGAGCCUGAGAAACGGCUACCACAUCCAAGGAAGGCAGCAGGCGCGCAAAUUACCCAAUCCCGACACGGGGAGGUAGUGACAAUAAAUACUGAUACGGGGCUCUUUUGGGUCUCGUAAUUGGAAUGAGUACAAUCUAAAUCCCUUAACGAGGAACAAUUGGAGGGCAAGUCUGGUGCCAGCAGCCGCGGUAAUUCCAGCUCCAAUAGCGUAUAUUAAAGUUGUUGCAGUUAAAAAGCUCGUAGUUGAACCUUGGGUCUGGCUGGCCGGUCCGCCUCACCGCGAGUACUGGUCCGGCUGGACCUUUCCUUCUGGGGAAUCUCAUGGCCUUCACUGGCUGUGGGGGGAACCAGGACUUUUACUGUGAAAAAAUUAGAGUGUUCAAAGCAGGCCUUUGCUCGAAUACAUUAGCAUGGAAUAAUAGAAUAGGACGUGCGGUUCUAUUUUGUUGGUUUCUAGGACCGCCGUAAUGAUUAAUAGGGAUAGUCGGGGGCGUCAGUAUUCAGCUGUCAGAGGUGAAAUUCUUGGAUUUGCUGAAGACUAACUACUGCGAAAGCAUUCGCCAAGGAUGUUUUCAGUUAUCAGGGAACGAAAGAUUAAGGGGAUCGAGGACUAUCAUGAUACCGUCGUAGUCUUUAGCAUUAAACUAUGCCGACUAGUGUGACCAGACGGUGUUUUUUUUUUAUGAUCAGUUUAGGCACCUUACGA
RNAcentral lists this ribosomal RNA (1030 nucleotides) under Aspergillus niger. Its description in RNAcentral is "SSU rRNA". It matches the Rfam family "Eukaryotic small subunit ribosomal RNA", at positions 62 to 1093 of the family's 1831-position model. The record is from RNAcentral. Lineage: Eukaryota; Fungi; Ascomycota; Eurotiomycetes; Eurotiales; Aspergillaceae.